RNAcentral lists this ribosomal RNA (1434 nucleotides) under uncultured organism. RNAcentral describes it as "16S ribosomal RNA". It matches the Rfam family "Bacterial small subunit ribosomal RNA". The record is from RNAcentral.
CAGGCUUAACACAUGCAAGUCGAGGGGCAGCAUGGUCUUAGCUUGCUAAGACUGAUGGCGACCGGCGCACGGGUGAGUAACACGUAUCCAACCUGCCGUCUACUCUUGGACAGCCUUCUGAAAGGAAGAUUAAUACAAGAUGGCAUCAUGAGUCCGCAUGUUCACAUGAUUAAAGGUAUUCCGGUAGACGAUGGGGAUGCGUUCCAUUAGAUAGUAGGCGGGGUAACGGCCCACCUAGUCUUCGAUGGAUAGGGGUUCUGAGAGGAAGGUCCCCCACAUUGGAACCGAGACACGGUCCAAACUCCUACGGGAGGCAGCAGUGAGGAAUAUUGGUCAAUGGGCGAGAGCCUGAACCAGCCAAGUAGCGUGAAGGAUGACUGCCCUAUGGGUUGUAAACUUCUUUUAUAAAGGAAUAAAGUCGGGUAUGCAUACCCGUUUGCAUGUACUUUAUGAAUAAGGAUCGGCUAACUCCGUGCCAGCAGCCGCGGUAAUACGGAGGAUCCGAGCGUUAUCCGGAUUUAUUGGGUUUAAAGGGAGCGUAGAUGGAUGUUUAAGUCAGUUGUGAAAGUUUGCGGCUCAACCGUAAAAUUGCAGUUGAUACUGGAUAUCUUGAGUGCAGUUGAGGCAGGCGGAAUUCGUGGUGUAGCGGUGAAAUGCUUAGAUAUCACGAAGAACUCCGAUUGCGAAGGCAGCCUGCUAAGCUGCAACUGACAUUGAGGCUCGAAAGUGUGGGUAUCAAACAGGAUUAGAUACCCUGGUAGUCCACACGGUAAACGAUGAAUACUCGCUGUUUGCGAUAUACAGCAAGCGGCCAAGCGAAAGCGUUAAGUAUUCCACCUGGGGAGUACGCCGGCAACGGUGAAACUCAAAGGAAUUGACGGGGGCCCGCACAAGCGGAGGAACAUGUGGUUUAAUUCGAUGAUACGCGAGGAACCUUACCCGGGCUUAAAUUGCAGAUGAAUUACGGUGAAAGCCGUAAGCCGCAAGGCAUCUGUGAAGGUGCUGCAUGGUUGUCGUCAGCUCGUGCCGUGGGGUGUCGGCUUAAGUGCCAUAACGAGCGCAACCCUUGUUGUCAGUUACUAACAGGUUCCGCUGAGGACUCUGACAAGACUGCCAUCGUAAGAUGUGAGGAAGGUGGGGAUGACGUCAAAUCAGCACGGCCCUUACGUCCGGGGCUACACACGUGUUACAAUGGGGGGUACAGAGGGCCGCUACCACGCGAGUGGAUGCCAAUCCCCAAAACCUCUCUCAGUUCGGACUGGAGUCUGCAACCCGACUCCACGAAGCUGGAUUCGCUAGUAAUCGCGCAUCAGCCACGGCGCGGUGAAUACGUUCCCGGGCCUUGUACACACCGCCCGUCAAGCCAUGGGAGCCGGGGGUACCUGAAGUGCGUAACCGCGAGGAGCGCCCUAGGGUAAAACUGGUGACUGGGGC